This 460-nucleotide ribosomal RNA is filed under the name uncultured bacterium. RNAcentral describes it as "partial 16S ribosomal RNA". It matches the Rfam family "Bacterial small subunit ribosomal RNA", at positions 338 to 795 of the family's 1533-position model. The record is from RNAcentral.
CCUACGGGAGGCAGCAGUGAGGAAUAUUGGUCAAUGGGCGCGAGCCUGAACCAGCCAAGUCGCGUGAGGGAUGACGGCCCUACGGGUUGUAAACCUCUUUUGCCGGGGAGCAACGGGCGCCACGUGUGGCGCCACUGAGAGUACCCGGAGAAAAAGCAUCGGCUAACUCCGUGCCAGCAGCCGCGGUAAUACGGAGGAUGCGAGCGUUAUCCGGAUUUAUUGGGUUUAACGGGUGCGUAGGCGGACAGUUAAGUCAUGGGUAAAAUUGAGGGGCUCAACCCCUUCCCGCCAUUGAAACUGGCGCUCUUGAGUGGAAGAGAAGUAUGCGGAAUGCGUGGUGUAGCGGUGAAAUGCAUAGAUAUCACGCAGAACCCCGAUUGCGAAGGCAGCAUGCCGGCUUCCGACUGACGCUGAAGCACGAAAGCGUGGGGAUCGAACAGGAUUAGAUACCCUUGUAGUC